UUUGACUCUUUGUCUUAUUUGAAAUUUUUUUGUGAUUAAUAUUUUUAUUCUUACUAGAUGAUAAAAUAUAAAUAGUACUUUAUGCGUGACUAAUUUUUUUUAACUUUUAUAUAAUAUUUUCAAAUAAGACGAAUGGUUGGA
RNAcentral lists this microRNA precursor (141 nucleotides) under Oryza brachyantha (malo sina). Its description in RNAcentral is "MIR812 microRNA precursor family". It matches the Rfam family "MIR812 microRNA precursor family", at positions 33 to 173 of the family's 205-position model. Lineage: Eukaryota; Viridiplantae; Streptophyta; Magnoliopsida; Poales; Poaceae. The record is from Rfam by way of RNAcentral.